AACGCUGGCGGCGUGCUUAACACAUGCAAGUCGAGCGAUGAAGUUUCUUCGGAAAUGGAUUAGCGGCGAACGGGUGAGUAACACGUGAGCAACCUGCCCCUAACUCUGGGAUAACGCUUCGAAAGGAGUGCUAAUACCGGAUAUGAGCCUGGAAGACAUCUUCUGGGUUGGAAAGUUUUUCGGUUAGGGAUGGGCUCGCGGCCUAUCAGCUUGUUGGUGAGGUAAAGGCUCACCAAGGCGACGACGGGUAUCCGGCCUGAGAGGGCGACCGGACACACUGGGACUGAGACACGGCCCAGACUCCUACGGGAGGCAGCAGUGGGGAAUAUUGCGCAAUGGGCGAAAGCCUGACGCAGCGACGCCGCGUGAGGGAUGAAGGUCUUCGGAUUGUAAACCUCUUUCAGCAGGGACGAAGCGAAAGUGACGGUACCUGAAGAAGAAGCACCGGCUAACUACGUG
Molecule: ribosomal RNA, 459 nt
Filed under: uncultured bacterium
Lineage: Bacteria
Description: bacterial SSU rRNA
Rfam family: Bacterial small subunit ribosomal RNA
Source: RNAcentral